GGUCAAGUGACAAAGGGUCCAUGGUGGAUGCCUUGGAGCUAUCCGACGAUGAAGGCCGUGGUAAGCUGCGAAAAGCUUGGGUAAGGAGCAAACAUCCGCUAUAACCCGAGAUUGCCGAAUGGGGUAACCCGCUAGUUUUAAUGACUAGCAUUAUAUGUGUGAAUACAUAGCCGUAUAAAGUGAGACUCAGGGAACUGAACCAUCUAAGUACCUGAAGGAAAAGAAAUCAAUUGAGAUUCCCUUAGUAGCGGCGAGCGGACGGGGAAGAGCCCAAACCAGUAAGUUUUCGGAUUUAUUGGGGUUGUAGGGCCAUCUAUAUGAGAGUGAUAAACCAGUUUGUUAGCGGAAUGUCUCUGGGAAGAGCAACCGAAGAGGGUGAAAGUCCCGUAUGUGAAAACGAAUUGGCUC
Molecule: ribosomal RNA, 408 nt
Filed under: Spirochaeta isovalerica
Lineage: Bacteria; Pseudomonadati; Spirochaetota; Spirochaetia; Spirochaetales; Spirochaetaceae
Description: Bacterial large subunit ribosomal RNA
Rfam family: Bacterial large subunit ribosomal RNA
Source: Rfam by way of RNAcentral